Long non-coding RNA from Cebus imitator (Panamanian white-faced capuchin), 311 nucleotides. RefSeq lists it as uncharacterized. The transcript is spliced from 3 exons. The record is from RefSeq and is a predicted model, not a curated record. Lineage: Eukaryota; Metazoa; Chordata; Mammalia; Primates; Cebidae.
GGCAAAGCCAGAGGUGGCUGUGUAAGAACUGAUGGCAGGAUAUGGUCUUCACAUCAGGAAGCAGGUGCCCUGUGCUCUCCAGACCUUGAGUCAGAUAGUCUGCUGAGCAGUCAUCGAGGGUCCCCUUCCCUGAAUCAUGGCAUGGAACUCUUUUAAGGCCUUUGCAUGUUCACACCUGAGACCAGACACAGGUGAACUCAUCUGUCUGUUUCCAGAAGACUUUGCUAACUCCUGGAAGCUCAUCAAGAGCUGAGCCACAUGCCAGGUGCAGUGGCUUACACCUGCAGUUCCAGCAUUUUUGGGCACUGAGG